GACUGGUGACCAUUCGGGAAACAAGAGGAACGGAUUAAAAAGGAACGUUCAGGAAUAAAAUAGCAGGAAUGAAAAGGAAUGGUCGUUCCUUAUCACUUUUAACAAGGAAUACUUUUGUUCUUUAAUUCUCUACAAAAAAAGGAAUGAAAGGGAAUGAGAGGGAAUUAUUAUUCCUUGUGAAUGGUGAUUUUUUUCAGGAACGUUAGGGAAUGCAUUAUUCCUCGCCGUUCCCUGGUCACCAUUCAUACCCUAAAUUUUUUCA
Molecule: long non-coding RNA, 262 nt
Filed under: Brassica napus (rape)
Lineage: Eukaryota; Viridiplantae; Streptophyta; Magnoliopsida; Brassicales; Brassicaceae
Description: long non-coding RNA (BNAP_LNC009313)
Source: RNAcentral